AAUUGUGGAAAGGAAACAAGACUGACAGUUUGUGGGGGAAGGGCCCAACUGGGAGUGGCAGUUGGGUCUUGUGACUAGUACUUCCUUCCUGCCGGGUGUGGCAGUUGUGUCUUGUGACUAGCACUUCCUUCCUGCCGUGUGGACUUGCUGCCUGGUGUUGGAGGAGAGAGGAGCUUGUUCAGUCUGUCUGGAGUGGCAUGCUCUUCUUGGUUCAGCCCGAAGAUUCAGGCCCAUUCAUCUCUGAAGUAGGUCCUUGGGGAAAAAAACCUGAUGGGUGACAAAAAAUUGCAGUAUUAUGACAGAGGUUGCUGGUCAAUUGUUUCCCCAUCUCUCCUAAGACCAAACUGGUCCAGAUUUAGCAAGAAGAUCAGGCAGCUAAGUGGUAGACUUCAGUUAUGCCUGAAAUCAGGAAGAAUCAUCUUCCUGAGUUAAAAUCUGGCCUCAAACUCUGACUAGCUGUGACCCUGGACAGGUCACUGCACUCUGUUUGCCUCAAUUUUUUCAUCUACAAAAUGAUCUGGAGAAGGAAAUGACAAAUCAUUCGAGUACCUCUGAGAAGAAAACCCCAAAUGAGGUCAAGAAGAGUCGACCAAGACUGAAAAGUAACUGAAUACCAACAAGCAAGAAAAUCAAGGAGGGCUGAGAAACCUUGUUUAAUAUGUCCAAGAAGAUAAUAAAAAAUGAAAGAACUGCUGUACUUUCUAUAGU
This 708-nucleotide long non-coding RNA is filed under the name Monodelphis domestica (gray short-tailed opossum). RNAcentral's name for it is "lncRNA (ENSMODG00000041454.1)". Lineage: Eukaryota; Metazoa; Chordata; Mammalia; Didelphimorphia; Didelphidae. The record is from RNAcentral.